This 560-nucleotide unclassified non-coding RNA is filed under the name Hevea brasiliensis (rubber tree). Lineage: Eukaryota; Viridiplantae; Streptophyta; Magnoliopsida; Malpighiales; Euphorbiaceae. The record is from RNAcentral.
GUGGAUACGAUAUCUCUCAAAAACUGGGAUCAAGAGCAUGUUCUCACUGGUGGCCAUGGACUUAUGGUGCAAGGGUACAAUCCUGUAAUUAAAACUCUUGCGAAAGAUCUCGACAUCCAACUGAAUCACAGAGUGACAAGGAUCUCCCGACACUCCAUCACUAAUAGAGUAACAAUCACUAUAGAGGGCGGGACAAAUUUCGUAGCUGAUGCUGCUAUCAUUACGGUUCCCAUUGGAGUUCUCAAAGCUAAUAAGAUCCAGUUUGAGCCUAGGCUACCUGAGUGGAAGAUGUCGGCUAUCUCUGAUAUGGGUGUUGGCAAUGAGAACAAAGUAGCUCUCCGAUUUGAUACUGUUUUCUGGCCUAAUGUCGAAGUGUUAGGAGUCGUGGCACCAACAACGGGCGCCUGUGGUUACUUCCUCAAUCUUCACAAGGCAACAGGGCAUCCUGUUCUUGUCUUCAUGGCCGCAGGAAGAUUCGCUUAUGACAUAGAGAAGUUGACGGUUGAAGAGGUUACUGACUUUGUCAUGGUGCAGCUGCGGAAAAUGCUACCUGAUGCCAC